GAUGAAGAACGCAGCGAAAUGCGAUAAGUAAUGUGAAUUGCAGAAUUCAGUGAAUCAUCGAAUCUUUGAACGCACAUUGCGCCCGCCAGUAUUCUGGCGGGCAUGCCUGUUCGAGCGUCAUUUCAACCAUCAAGCCCCCCGGCUUGUGUUGGGGACCUGCGGCUGCCGCAGGCCCUGAAAAGCAGUGGCGGGCUCGCCGUCACACCGAGCGUAGUAGCAUACAUCUCGCUCUGGGCGUGCUGCGGGUUCCGGCCGUUAAACCACCUUCAUAACCCAAGGUUGACCUCGGAUCAGGUAGGAAGACCCGCUGAACUUAAGCAUAUCAAUAAGCGGAGGA
Molecule: unclassified non-coding RNA, 337 nt
Filed under: soil metagenome
Description: partial contains 5.8S ribosomal RNA, internal transcribed spacer 2, and large subunit ribosomal RNA
Rfam family: 5.8S ribosomal RNA (bases 1-120)
Source: RNAcentral